Molecule: ribosomal RNA, 497 nt
Filed under: uncultured bacterium
Lineage: Bacteria
Description: partial 16S ribosomal RNA
Rfam family: Bacterial small subunit ribosomal RNA
Source: RNAcentral
GAUGAACGCUGGCGGCGUGCCUAAUACAUGCAAGUCGAGCGAACGGACGAGAAGCUUGCUUCUCUGAUGUUAGCGGCGGACGGGUGAGUAACACGUGGAUAACCUACCUAUAAGACUGGGAUAACUUCGGGAAACCGGAGCUAACCCCGGAUAAUAUUCUGAACCGCAUGGUUCAUCAGUGAAAUACGGUCUUGCUGUCACUUAUAGAUGGAUCCGCGCUGCAUUAGCUAGUUGGUAAGGUAACGGCUUACCAAGGCAACGAUGCAUAGCCGACCUGAGAGGGUGAUCGGCCACACUGGAACUGAGACACGGUCCAGACUCCUACGGGAGGCAGCAGUAGGGAAUCUUCGGCAAUGGGCGAAAGCCUGACGGAGCAACGCCGCGUGAGUGAUGAAGGCCUUCGGAUCGUAAAACUCUGUUAUUAGGGAAGAACAGAUGUGGAAGUAACCGUGCACAUCUUGACGGUACCUGAUCAAAAAGCCACGGCUAACUACGUG